UCAUCUUCUUCUUGGAGUUCUUAUUCAGAAAGUCGAAAUAUGAGAAUAUCACGAUGAUUUUGAGAUCGCAAGAUUAAGAUUGAGAUUUGGAGGAUGGGGUAAGGACAUGAAGUUAGAAGUUCAGAAGCUCAUAUAUUACAUGCAUGUAAGGAUCGAGCUUGAGAAAUUCAAAAAAAAUUAUGUGAGUAUCAAAAAUCUAGCAAUUAAUUAGAAUCAAAGC
This 220-nucleotide long non-coding RNA is filed under the name Elaeis guineensis (African oil palm). RNAcentral's name for it is "long non-coding RNA (EGUI_LNC021780)". Lineage: Eukaryota; Viridiplantae; Streptophyta; Magnoliopsida; Arecales; Arecaceae. The record is from RNAcentral.